UACGUAGGGUGCGAGCGUUGUCCGGAAUUAUUGGGCGUAAAGAGCUUGUAGGCGGUUUGUCGCGUCUGCUGUGAAAAUCCGGGGCUCAACCCCGGACUUGCAGUGGGUACGGGCAGACUAGAGUGUGGUAGGGGAGACUGGAAUUCCUGGUGUAGCGGUGAAAUGCGCAGAUAUCAGGAGGAACACCGGUGGCGAAGGCGGGUCUCUGGGCCAAAAACUGACGCUGGAGGGAGCGA
RNAcentral lists this ribosomal RNA (236 nucleotides) under uncultured bacterium. RNAcentral's name for it is "partial 16S ribosomal RNA". It matches the Rfam family "Bacterial small subunit ribosomal RNA", at positions 524 to 756 of the family's 1533-position model. The record is from RNAcentral.